UUAUACCGCGAAACUGCGAAUGGCUCAUUAUAUAAGUUAUCGUUUAUUUGAUAGCACAUUUACCUACUUGGAUAACCGUGGUAAUUCUAGAGCUAAUACAUGCUAAAAAUCCCGACUUCGGAAGGGAUGUAUUUAUUAGAUUAAAAGCCAACGCCCUUCGGGCUUCUUGGUGAUUCAUGAUAACUGGUCGAAUCGCAUGGCCUUGCGCGGCGAUGGUUCAUUCAAAUUUCUUCCCCUAUCAACUUUCGAUGCGAAGGUCUUGUCUUCGCAUGGUUGCAACGGGUAACGGAGGGUUAGGGCUCGACCCCGGAGAAGGAGCCUGAGAAACGGCUACUACAUCCAAGGAAGGCARCAGGCGCGCAAAUUACCCAAUCCCGACACGGGAGGUAGUGACAUAAAUACUGAUACAGGGCUCUUUUGGGUCUUGUAAUCGGAAUGAGUACAAUUUAAAUCCCUUAACGAGGAACAAUUGGAGGGCAAGUCUGGUGCCAGCAGCCGCGGUAAUUCCAGCUCCAAUAGCGUAUAUUAAAGUUGUUGUGGUUAAAAAGCUCGUAGUUGAACCUUGGGCCUGGCUGGCCGGUCCCCCUCACCGGGUGCACUGAUCCAGCCGGGCCUUUCCUCUGUGGAACCUCAUGGUCUUCACUGACUGUGUUGGGGAACAGGACUUUACUUUGAAAAAAUUAGAGUGCUCCAGGCAGGCCUAUGCUCGAAUACAUUAGCAUGGAAUAAUAGAAUAGGACGUGUGGUUUCUAUUUUGUUGGUUUCUAGGACCGCCGUAAUGAUUAAUAGGACAGUCGGGGCAUCAGUAUUCAAUUGUCAGAGGUGAAAUUCUUGGAUCUAUUGAAGACUAACUACUGCGAAAGCAUUUGCCAAGGAUGUUUUCAUUGAUAGGAACGAAAGUUAGGGGAUCGAAGACGAUCAGAUACCGUCGUAGUCUUAACUAUAAACUAUGCCGACUAGGGAUCGGACGAUGUUAUCUUUUGACGCGUUCGGCACCUUUCGAGAAAUCAAAGUGCUUGGCUCCAGGGGGAGU
This 1033-nucleotide ribosomal RNA is filed under the name Basipetospora variabilis. Its description in RNAcentral is "SSU rRNA". It matches the Rfam family "Eukaryotic small subunit ribosomal RNA", at positions 74 to 1135 of the family's 1831-position model. The record is from RNAcentral. Lineage: Eukaryota; Fungi; Ascomycota; Sordariomycetes; Microascales.